Molecule: microRNA, 25 nt
Filed under: Equus caballus (horse)
Lineage: Eukaryota; Metazoa; Chordata; Mammalia; Perissodactyla; Equidae
Description: eca-miR-9167
Source: miRBase by way of RNAcentral
UGUCUCCGGCCAUGCCCACUUCUAC